CUCAGAUGUUAAGUCCCAUAGUGAUCAGAGCCAUUUGAACCAUUUGAUAGCAUCACUAACUUCGUUUCCGGUUGUGACCCACUAAAUUGUAGAACACAAAAACUUCCACAUCUGCAUCUCCAUAUCUGCAAGGACACAUAAGUGUUCUGCAACAUACUAGAUCCUCAGGAUGUCUGUCUGACUUUUCGCAACUGGUUCGUUCGACUAUGUCAUCGCACAGCCACAGCAGCUACUGUCUGCAGCCCAAAGAGCUCUAAUCACAUGCUAGACCAGGACAUGGAGGUGUUCCACAAGCAACAGCAGCAGUCUUCUACAUUGCGUAUACUUGGACUCAAAGCAAGCAGAAAGGAAUGUAGUAUGACAAUGAGUGCUUCUAGUUUAUUGUUACUGUACAUUGACAAUAUACAUAUGUAAAUAAAACAUGUACUAUA
Schistocerca nitens (vagrant locust) is the source of this 431-nucleotide long non-coding RNA. RefSeq lists it as uncharacterized. Lineage: Eukaryota; Metazoa; Arthropoda; Insecta; Orthoptera; Acrididae. The record is from RefSeq and is a predicted model, not a curated record. The transcript is spliced from 2 exons.